UACGGGAGGCAGCAGUGGGGAAUAUUGCACAAUGGGCGCAAGCCUGAUGCAGCCAUGCCGCGUGUAUGAAAAAGGCCUUCGGGUUGUAAAGUACUUUCAGUCGUGAGGAAGGUGUUAAGGUUAAUAACCUUAGCAAUUGACGUUAGCGACAGAAGAAGCACCGGCUAACUCCGUGCCAGCAGCCGCGGUAAUACGGAGGGUGCGAGCGUUAAUCGGAAUUACUGGGCGUAAAGGGCACGCAGGCGGUUAAUUAAGUUGGAUGUGAAAUCCCCGGGCUUAACCUGGGAAUGGCAUUCAAGACUGGUUAGCUAGAGUCUUGUAGAGGGGGUAGAAUUCCAUGUGUAGCGGUGAAAUGCGUAGAGAUGUGGAGGAAUACCGGUGGCGAAGGCGGCCCCUGGACAAAGACUGACGCUCAUGUGCGAAAGCGUGGGGAGCGAAAACAGGGAUUAGAUACC
Molecule: ribosomal RNA, 455 nt
Filed under: uncultured bacterium
Lineage: Bacteria
Description: bacterial SSU rRNA
Rfam family: Bacterial small subunit ribosomal RNA
Source: RNAcentral